Molecule: ribosomal RNA, 140 nt
Filed under: uncultured bacterium
Lineage: Bacteria
Description: partial 16S ribosomal RNA
Rfam family: Bacterial small subunit ribosomal RNA
Source: RNAcentral
CGGUGAAUACGUUCCCGGGUCUUGUACACACCGCCCGUCACACCAUGGGAGCCGGGAAUGCCCGAAGUCAGCGGCCCAACCGAAGGAGGGAGCUGCCGAAGGCAGGCCUGGUGACUGGGGUGAAGUCGUAACAAGGUACC